This 492-nucleotide ribosomal RNA is filed under the name uncultured bacterium. RNAcentral's name for it is "partial 16S ribosomal RNA". It matches the Rfam family "Bacterial small subunit ribosomal RNA", at positions 28 to 507 of the family's 1533-position model. The record is from RNAcentral.
GACGAACGCUGGCGGCGUGCUUAACACAUGCAAGUCGAACGGAAAGGCCCCCACUUUUUUGGUGGGGGUGCUCGAGUGGCGAACGGGUGAGUAACACGUGGGUGAUCUGCCCUGUACUUCGGGAUAAGCUUGGGAAACUGGGUCUAAUACCGGAUAGGACCAUGGUUUAGUGUCUCAUGGUGGAAAAAUUAUUGUUUUGGUGCAGGAUGAGCUCGCGGCCUCUCAGCUUGUUGGUGGGGUAAUGGCCUACCAAGGCGUCGACGGGUAGCCGGCCUGAGAGGGUGGACGGCCACAUUGGGACUGAGAUACGGCCCAGACUCCUACGGGAGGCAGCAGUGGGGAAUAUUGCACAAUGGGCGCAAGCCUGAUGCAGCGACGCCGCGUGGGGGAUGACGGCCUUCGGGUUGUAAACUCCUUUCGUUAGGGACGAAGCCGCACCUUUUUUGGGUGUGGUGACGGUACCUUUGUUAAGAAGCACCGGCUAACUACGUG